Molecule: small RNA, 109 nt
Filed under: Salmonella enterica
Lineage: Bacteria; Pseudomonadati; Pseudomonadota; Gammaproteobacteria; Enterobacterales; Enterobacteriaceae
Description: partial RtT sRNA
Rfam family: RtT RNA
About the family: This family represents a bacterial cis-regulatory element known as RtT RNA. The exact function of RtT is unknown although it is thought that it may be involved in changing the cellular response in relation to amino acid starvation.
Source: RNAcentral
UGAGAAGCUUCGACUAAGGUUCGAUUCGAGCGCAGCGAGAAAGCGUUGCCGCAGGCAACGACCCGAAGGGCGAAGCGCGCAGCGCUGAGUAAUCCUUCCCCCAUCACCA